CUUUCGAAUGGAACAUUUGGUAAAGUCCCAUUUUAAACAAACACAUGGCUCUUUUUUAAGGCCUUAAUAAAACAUACACGUUCAGAAUAUGUUGUAUCAUUGCACAUUUCACUUUCUUUCACUUCCACAUGCUCGAUAACAAAUCCUGCAUUUCUCACAGUGUCUUCUAUAGACAUUUUAUCAGUUGUUAAAAAGUGAAAUUUACUCUCACCUACGGUGUAAUAUUUUGCCUUAACUAAUCCAAAUAGCAGUAGAUGCCCACCCAAUUUUAGCAUGCAUGACACUUUUUUCAGGUUCCUGCAGUAUUCGUCUAGAUCUUUAGAAACUGCAUGGAAAAUGACCACACUGACCACGCAGUCUGCUUUUGGUAGAAUUACUGGAUCUGUAAUGUUUUCCUUGGUGAAAUCACAUUUUAAAAUGUGUGAG
Molecule: non-coding RNA, 426 nt
Organism: Pelobates cultripes (western spadefoot toad)
Lineage: Eukaryota; Metazoa; Chordata; Amphibia; Anura; Pelobatidae
Source: the annotation of a GenBank genome assembly